AGACGUAGGGGGCUAGCGUUGUUCGGAAUUACUGGGCGUAAAGCGCGCGUAGGCGGCCUGCCAAGUUGGGGGUGAAAGCCCGGGGCUCAACCCCGGAACUGCCCUCAAAACUGGCAAGCUAGAGACCGGGAGAGGUGAGUGGAAUUCCCAGUGUAGAGGUGAAAUUCGUAGAUAUUGGGAAGAACACCAGCGGCGAAGGCGGCUCACUGGACCGGUACUGACGCUGAGGUGCGAAAGCGUGGGGAGCAAACAGGAUUAGAAACCCCAGUAGUCC
This 274-nucleotide ribosomal RNA is filed under the name uncultured bacterium. RNAcentral's name for it is "partial 16S ribosomal RNA". It matches the Rfam family "Bacterial small subunit ribosomal RNA", at positions 523 to 796 of the family's 1533-position model. The record is from RNAcentral.